GACGAACGCUGGCGGCGUGCCUAAUACAUGCAAGUAGAACGCUGAAGAGAGGAGCUUGCUCUUCUUGGAUGAGUUGCGAACGGGUGAGUAACGCGUAGGUAACCUGCCUUGUAGCGGGGGAUAACUAUUGGAAACGAUAGCUAAUACCGCAUAACAAUGGAUGACACAUGUCAUUUAUUUGAAAGGGGCAAUUGCUCCACUACAAGAUGGACCUGCGUUGUAUUAGCUAGUAGGUGAGGUAAUGGCUCACCUAGGCGACGAUACAUAGCCGACCUGAGAGGGUGAUCGGCCACACUGGGACUGAGACACGGCCCAGACUCCUACGGGAGGCAGCAGUAGGGAAUCUGCGGCAAUGGGGGCAACCCUGACCGAGCAACGCCGCGUGAGUGAAGAAGGUUUUCGGAUCGUAAAGCUCUGUUGUAAGUCAAGAACGGGUGUGAGAGUGGAAAGUUCACACUGUGACGGUAGCGUACCAGAAAGGGACGGCUAACUACGU
Molecule: ribosomal RNA, 496 nt
Filed under: uncultured bacterium
Lineage: Bacteria
Description: partial 16S ribosomal RNA
Rfam family: Bacterial small subunit ribosomal RNA
Source: RNAcentral